This 410-nucleotide long non-coding RNA is filed under the name Coffea arabica (coffee). Its description in RNAcentral is "long non-coding RNA (CARA_LNC000992)". The record is from RNAcentral. Lineage: Eukaryota; Viridiplantae; Streptophyta; Magnoliopsida; Gentianales; Rubiaceae.
AAAGAGCGAACCCAAGAAAUGGAGGAGAAGGCCAAGGAGGCUGCUGAGAAAGCAAAGCACAGGACUGAAAGCGUGGCUGAAAGGGCAGCUGAGAAGGCCAAAGAAGGGAAAGACUGGGCAGCGGAUACAGCGCAAGAAACUAAAGAGAAGGCCAAGGAUAGAGCUGAUGAAAUGAAGGAGAAGACUGAAGACACGGCUUAUGAAAUGAAGGAGAAGACUAAGGGGACGGCCGAAACGGUGGCCGAGAAGACGAAGGAAGGGGCGUAUAAGGUGGUGGAAACGGCCGAGACUGUUGGGGAGAAGGCUAAGCAGACUAUGAAGGAUGCUUGGGGAGCUGCAAAGGAGACUACUCAGAAGAUUAAAGAAACUGUGGUUGGCAAGGAUGAUGAUGAUGAUAAGGACCGUGUUGA